RNAcentral lists this long non-coding RNA (1184 nucleotides) under Salmo salar (Atlantic salmon). RNAcentral describes it as "lncRNA (ENSSSAG00000092765.1, ENSSSAG00000118076.1)". Lineage: Eukaryota; Metazoa; Chordata; Actinopteri; Salmoniformes; Salmonidae. The record is from RNAcentral.
GCAGAACAUGCAUAAUGCUUUCAACUCAUCACUCCAACAGAUCAUUUAAUUCAUCCUUCAUUCAGUUCAGUCAUCCAUUCAGUCAUCCUUCAUUCAGUUCAGUCAUCCAUUCAGUCAUCCUUCAUUCAGUUCAGUCAUCCAUUCAGUCAUCCUUCAUUCAGUUCAUCAUCCAUUCAGUCAUCCGUCUGAGUUGCCAUAGGAACUAAAUCAGAGAGAAUAGAACACUCAUCCAUUUGUUUAUUGAAAUCCAUGUGUGAAUUCAAAAUGAUCUACAAUUUCCAAAGUUCUUUAGCCUAUCACUUUAAUAAUUCAAUAUUUAAUUUAGGCCUAAAUUGUGUGUUGGUGCUUGAAAAAACAAGGUAAAAUAGUGAUGCCAGUGAUUUUGAAGUUUGGAGCUUUAGAUCCCGGAGGUUUUGACUUCUGUGGUGGAUGACCGUUCAAAAUUAUUUUUCCCAGUCGGAGCUUGUUUUCCCAAAUUCCCAGUUGUCAUAAACACACUGUCAACACUAGUCACUUUACUAAUGCCACUUUAGAGACUGAAAAACAACUUCUAUCUCAAGGCCAUCAGACUGUUAAAUAGCCAUCACUAGCACAUUAGAGGCUGCUGCCUAUAUACAUAAACUGGAAAUCACUGGUCACUUUAGUAAUGUUUACAUAUUUUGCAUUACUCGUCUCAUAUGUAUAUACUGUAUUCUAUACUAUCUACUGUAUCUUAUUCUAUGCCGCUGUGACAUUGCUCAUCCAUAUAUUUAUACCUUCUAAUUCCAUUCCUUUACUUAGAUUUGUGUGUAUUAGGUUUUUGUUGUGGAAUUGUUAGAUAUUACCUGUUAGAUAUUGCUGCACUGUCGGAGCUAGAAGCACAAGCAUUUCGUUACGCUCGCAAUAACAUCUGCUAAACCAUGUGACCAAUAACAUUUGAUUUGAUGUCUAACGGUUCCGAGUUCCCAGUUGUCUUGAACGCAGUGUGUGUGUGUGUGUGUGUGUGUGUGUGUGUGUCAGUGAUGUCACUACGCAGAGGACGCCUCUUCCUGAUCGUCACUCUGUCCAUUCAUAUCAACCAGAGAGGAAGAGGACGAGAGGCCAACUCGGCGGAAAAUCUGUCUCGCUCAACAACCAAGCAAGGACUUUUUGUAUAGAGGUCAAUGAGAGUGUCGAAUUUGGUCAACAAUAAAACAAUUAUUCGC